This 253-nucleotide ribosomal RNA is filed under the name uncultured bacterium. Its description in RNAcentral is "partial 16S ribosomal RNA". It matches the Rfam family "Bacterial small subunit ribosomal RNA", at positions 524 to 776 of the family's 1533-position model. The record is from RNAcentral.
UACGUAGGGUGCAAGCGUUGUCCGGAAUUAUUGGGCGUAAAGAGCUCGUAGGCGGUCUGUCGCGUCUGCUGUGAAAACUCAGGGCUUAACCCUGAGCUUGCAGUGGGUACGGGCAGACUAGAGUGCGGUAGGGGAGACUGGAAUUCCUGGUGUAGCGGUGAAAUGCGCAGAUAUCAGGAGGAACACCGGUGGCGAAGGCGGGUCUCUGGUCCGUAACUGACGCUGAGGAGCGAAAGCAUGGGGAGCGAACAGG